RNAcentral lists this ribosomal RNA (207 nucleotides) under uncultured bacterium. RNAcentral describes it as "partial 16S ribosomal RNA". It matches the Rfam family "Bacterial small subunit ribosomal RNA", at positions 568 to 774 of the family's 1533-position model. The record is from RNAcentral.
UGCGUAGGCGGCUUUUUAAGUUGGAUGUGAAAUCCCUGAGCUUAACUUAGGAAUUGCAUUUGAUACUGGGAAGCUAGAGUAUGGGAGAGGAUGGUAGAAUUCCAGGUGUAGCGGUGAAAUGCGUAGAGAUCUGGAGGAAUACCGAUGGCGAAGGCAGCUACCUGGACCAACACUGACACUGAGGCACGAAAGCGUGGGGAGCAAACA